AUUAGAUCGUGCGUUCCACAUGGAUAACUGUGGUAAUCUUAGAGCUAAUACAUGCAAAUGGCCCUGACGUAGGGAGGGGCGCUUUUAUUAGAUCAAAAUCAAUCGGGGCAACCCGUUUAUGUGAUGACUCUGGAUAACUUUGUGCCGACCGCAUGGCCUUGUGCCGGCGGCGUAUCUUUCAAAUGUCUGCCCUAUCAACUUUCGAUGGUAGGUGACAUGCCUACCAUGGUUGUAACGGGUAACGGAGAAUCAGGGUUCGAUUCCGGAGAGGGAGCCUGAGAAACGGCUACCACAUCCAAGGAAGGCAGCAGGCGCGCAAAUUACCCACUCCCGGCACGGGGAGGUAGUGAGGAAAAAUAACAAUGCUGGGCUUCAAGUCCGGUAAUUGGAAUGAGUACACUUUAAAUCCUUUAACGAGGAUCU
RNAcentral lists this ribosomal RNA (423 nucleotides) under uncultured eukaryote. RNAcentral describes it as "SSU rRNA". It matches the Rfam family "Eukaryotic small subunit ribosomal RNA", at positions 119 to 546 of the family's 1831-position model. The record is from RNAcentral.